Molecule: non-coding RNA, 25 nt
Filed under: Rattus norvegicus (Norway rat)
Lineage: Eukaryota; Metazoa; Chordata; Mammalia; Rodentia; Muridae
Source: RNAcentral
GUCAGUAAAAAUGGGAAAAGUGCUA